CUACGGGUGGCAGCAGAGAGGAAUUUUGCGCAAUGGGGGAAACCCUGACGCAGCAACGCCGCGUGAGUGAUGAAGGCUUUCGAGUCGUAAAGCUCUGUCAAGUGGGAAGAACCUACUAAGUGCCAAUACCACUUAGUACUGACGGUACCACUGAAGGAAGCACCGGCUAACUCCGUGCCAGCAGCCGCGGUAAUACGGGGGGUGCAAGCGUUACUCGGAAUUAUUGGGCGUAAAGGGCGCGCAGGCGGCCAGGUAAGUCAGAUGUGAAAGCCCGGGGCUCAACCCCGGAAGUGCAUUUGAAACUACGUGGCUUGAGUAUGGGAGAGGGAAGUGGAAUUCCUGGUGUAGAGGUGAAAUUCGUAGAUAUCAGGAGGAACACCGGUGGCGAAGGCGACUUCCUGGACCAAUACUGACGCUGAGGCGCGAAGGCGUGGGUAGCAAACAGGAUUAGAUACCCCGGUAGUC
Molecule: ribosomal RNA, 465 nt
Filed under: uncultured bacterium
Lineage: Bacteria
Description: partial 16S ribosomal RNA
Rfam family: Bacterial small subunit ribosomal RNA
Source: RNAcentral